Molecule: long non-coding RNA, 1820 nt
Filed under: Homo sapiens (human)
Lineage: Eukaryota; Metazoa; Chordata; Mammalia; Primates; Hominidae
Description: non-protein coding lnc-FOXF2-4:1
Source: RNAcentral
GCAUCGCAUUCUGACAGUCCUCAAGGAAUGGGGAGAGGAAAUUACUUGCACCCUGAAAAAGCAUCUUUGCUGACGACUGGGAACGCCAGAGGAGGUUUUAUAGUAAGGUCUAUAAUAGAAUACUGGGACGAGCUGGGGUAGUUUUCCGCCUCAGGCUGUGCUGCCAAUAAAAGCGCAGGCCAGCCCGCUGUUUUUAAGUGCCGUGGACUAUGACCAAGUCCAUCUCCAAGGACUUUUCUGGCUGAAAGCAAAGUCCUGUGUCCAGAGUAGUAAAAACUCCUGGGCUCGUUCUAUUUUGAGUACUUAUGCCAUAUCUAAGCCAGGGUUGGCCCAAGUUGAAGGGUACAUCUUUAAGGGAAAGAUGCUUUUCCACAGCCCCAUGGCUGUGCCCAGCAGACACUCAACAUGGCUAAGGUGAGAAGGGGGAGGAGGAGAGAGAAGGGUAAGAAAGGAAGGGAGCAGAGGCAGAACAUCCCCACAUUAUGCUGCUGAUAAAGACACACCCAAGACUGGGCAAUUUACAAAGAAAGAGGUUUAAUGGACUUACAGUUCCACAUGGUGGGGGAAGCCUUGCAAUCAUGGCAGAAGACAAGGAGGAGCAAGUCACAUCUUACAUGGAUGGCAACAGGCAAAGAGACAGCACUUGUGCAGGGAAACUCCCCCUUAUGAAGCCAUCAGAUCUCGUGAGACUUAUUCACUAUCAGGAGAACAGCACAAGAAGGACUUGCCCCCACAAUUCAAUUGCCUCACACCAGGUCGUCACCAAUAUCAUUUACCACUGUCUGGGCCAAUGCAAUAAUACAUGAAAGAAAAAUAAGAGGCACAGUUCUUGGCAGAACCUCCCAAAACAUAUUCUUUGGAACACUACUUUUCUGGAAUGUUAAAUAGAGUCAAACCGUUUCUUUGCUGUAAGACUUCUCAAGGCCUUAAAUAUCCCAACAUUUGCUACGAGUCUCCAAGAGGGGAAAUGUUAUCCAGUGUUUCCCAACUUUUUCAACAUUGAAUUGAUUUUUGUCCCAGAGAAUAUUAAAAGUGAACAAAGGUUGUAGUUAAGAACAAGGGCUUUAGAGUCACAAAAACCAGGAUUUAAAUCUACAUCCUCUCCUGACUAAAGGACUGAGAGAAGGUAGUUUCAUCUUUUUUAACCUUCACUUCCUAUUGUGUGCAGUCGUAGGAAGGCAGUAUAAAUCCUCUGUCAAUUUCCUGUGUGUGCAUGUGUGUAAUAACACACUUUUGUUAAGUCUCACAGAGGUGUAUCUAAGGAUUCUUUUCAAAAAAUCUUUUGGUUUUGUAAAUAAUUAUCUCAAUAAUACAGAGGGAGGUUAUCCAUGUCAUUUAUUUCUGUCCUUAUCUUUAUUACAUCCUUCCUUCUUGAAUGCAGAAGACAUUAGCCACGCACCCCUACCACCUCCCCACUGUCUUGGGAAUUUUCUACAUAAAGAGUUCUGUCUCCCAAAGUGGAACCCAGAAACUCACCUUCCCAACCUCCUGCAAUUAGAAUUCACACAUGCAACCUAGACUCUGCCAAUCAGACCCAUCCAUGUGAGACAUCUGCUCGAAAGAAAGCAGCAUGAGGAGGCAGGCACCAUCCCUGGCAUGUGGAAUCUCCAUGCUGGCCAGGGUGAGCUUAGGGGCCCUGGCACUGACAGCCAGUGUUCAUGGUGCUUGGUGGUGGCAAUGACUAUAGAGGGAUAUUUCUGCAGCUGUUUUGUGGUCAAGUUUGGUGUUAUUCCUGGUGAUGCAGACUUGAAAACUGACUCUAUGGUCCUCCUAAAGAAUCAGAGCAUCUUUGUCCUUUAAUAAGUAAAUUUUCUGCUGAA